RNAcentral lists this ribosomal RNA (254 nucleotides) under uncultured bacterium. RNAcentral's name for it is "partial 16S ribosomal RNA". It matches the Rfam family "Bacterial small subunit ribosomal RNA", at positions 526 to 779 of the family's 1533-position model. The record is from RNAcentral.
CGAAGGGGCGUAGCGUUGCUCGGAAUUACUGGGCGUAAAGGGAGCGUAGGCGGACUGUUUAGUCAGAGGUGAAAGCCCAGGGCUCAACCUUGGAAUUGCCUUUGAUACUGGCAGUCUUGAGUACGGAAGAGGUAUGUGGAACUCCGAGUGUAGAGGUGAAAUUCGUAGAUAUUCGGAAGAACACCAGUGGCGAAGGCGACAUACUGGUCCGUUACUGACGCUGAGGCUCGAAAGCGUGGGGAGCAAACAGGAUU